This is a long non-coding RNA of Rattus norvegicus (Norway rat), 1955 nucleotides long. RefSeq lists it as uncharacterized. The record is from RefSeq and is a predicted model, not a curated record. NCBI's taxonomy places the organism in Eukaryota, Metazoa, Chordata, Mammalia, Rodentia, Muridae.
GUUAGUUCUUCGAGAUAAUCAAUCCGACAAGGCAUUACAGGAGUUGCCUUCUGACUACACCGAUUCAGGAAAAGUGGCUCUGUGGCAACAAGUUUAGCUACUCAGAGAAAACGUCUGCAUUCCUUGAAAGACCGGCGUUUUCCAGGCACACGCAAGCCUGGUUCAGACUUGUGGCACUGAAACUUCUGCGAAGGAAGCUUCAGGCUCAGUGCUUCCCGAGGAUCACACCAGAUACAAGGAAGAAAAAAGCUACCACCCAGGCACGAUCUUCAGAUGGCAUCAAAUACAGAAACAUUUCAACAUUGUCUGUCAACAGGGAAAUAAGAACUAAAGUUACCACAGGAAAGCUCACAGCCAUCAGCAAGGCUAACGGAGAGGACACAGGGGAGCAGGAGGUUUCAGGCCACUGGUGGAUCGUUUUAGGUUUCCAGAGUUUCGAAGAAUUCAAGACAGUAUUGACACUUCUCAUAGACUCCCGUAACUUGCAUCUCAUGUUGUUUUGAUACGUCUGAUAUUAAUGUUUCUGAAGACCUUGACGGCUUUGGGGAGAACUGUUAGGUGGCGUGUAAGCCACCUCCGACGCCUGGCAACGCCUGCUGUUUCCUCCCUGGUCAGAAGGAAGCUGUGGGUAUUGGAGCAGCCAUAACAUCGUGCUGUUGCCCCAGCCGCACCAGCUCUGGUUCCUACGGGCUUUCUGUCUGGCUCCUGUGUUCUAGGACUCUCCCAGCCUUUGUGGAUAUUUCUCUUUCUUGGCAAUAUAGGAAGCUCUGGGCCCAUCUCAUGCAUUUCCUGCUUUGAUUUCUCCACUGAUCCCUGAAAUGGAAACACUGUGCGGGGGCAAACACGUGAAGGAGUGUUUUCCUGAAGUGGACACGGAUAGAAGGCUAAGGCACACUUGUGAAGGAACACUGUGCUGAAGCAGACACAGGAGAGGGGAUGUUCUGCUAAAGCAAGCACGUGAAAGGACACACGGCGAAAGACUCUUUGCUAACAACACACACGCAUUGGCCCGCCUUACGUUUAAUAGCUGAGCUGCAUUUGUCAGGACUCCAUAGAGAGAAACCAGCCGAAAUCUUCUGGUGGUGCUGCAGUUUCUUGCUGCUUCUGCAGACUUUGUCUGAUUGGAAGAGUGACCUCAGCUGAGGCAAGGCCCAUGGAGGACAAAAUAGGACUCGACGGACAGUGACGGAGACAGAGCUUGGCUUGCUGGUACAGCUAGCUGUGCAAUGUUGUGGGUCUCACGCCUUCCCUUCACUGAGCGAGGCCCAGCUGAGAACUCCUCCUGGUGCUCCUCCUGGUCUCUCCUGCUGACUUGUGCCCAGGCUGAGGCCUGGCUGUCUCUGCUGGGCAGUGCCACCUCUGCUGAUUCCUGUUUGCUAUCCCGACUCUACCGAACUGGGCUGCUGGUGUAUCUGUGAAGUGUUUGUGAGUGGAUCAAGCCACUGCUGACCUGUGAACUGGACUGCCGAUUUCCAGACGACACAGACUGGAGUUACUCCGUAGAUCUUUUUCAAACAGGUCCACUCCCUGCGACAACUGCACAGCCCCUGCAGAACAACAGCAGCAUAGUUUGAUCUUUCCGCUUGACCUGGGGACAGGUUUCCCUCAGUUGGGCGUUUGUUGACCUUUCUCUGAGUUGUACAGCUCUCGUCAUACAGAUUGCAGCUCCUGUGCAGGCUUCGGUAUUUAGGCUUUUCACGUUAGGGGUUGGUGUUGGAACUAGCAUUUUGUCUUUACUCCAGAUUCCAGGGGUUUGUUGCUGGUGAGCAGAAAGCAUUGGACUUUUAUAUGUGAACCAGGCGUCUUGCAACCUUGCUGUACUUAUUUAUUCCAGGAGACAGAUUCAUUCAUUCAUUCAUUCAUUCAAUCACUCACUCACUCACUCACUCACUCAAUUCAUAAGUCGAUUUCAAAUGUGGAGAUUUUAUCUGGAAUAAAUCUUGCUUGGUAUCUAA